RNAcentral lists this ribosomal RNA (399 nucleotides) under uncultured Roseomonas sp. Its description in RNAcentral is "bacterial SSU rRNA". It matches the Rfam family "Bacterial small subunit ribosomal RNA", at positions 505 to 908 of the family's 1533-position model. Lineage: Bacteria; Pseudomonadati; Pseudomonadota; Alphaproteobacteria; Acetobacterales; Roseomonadaceae. The record is from RNAcentral.
GUGCCAGCAGCAGCGGUAAUACGAAGGGGCUAGCGUUACUCGGAAUUACUGGGCGUAAAGGGCGCGUAGGCGGCGUUCCAAGUUAGGCGUGAAAGUCCUGGGCUCAACCUGGGAACUGCGCUUAAGACUGGAGUGCUUGAGGAUGGAAGAGGGUUGUGGAAUUCCCAGUGUAGAGGUGAAAUUCGUAGAUAUUGGGAAGAACACCGGUGGCGAAGGCGGCAACCUGGUCCAUUACUGACGCUGAGGCGCGAUAGCGUGGGAGCAAACAGGAUUAGAUACCCUGGUAGUCCACGCCGUAAACGAUGUGCGCUGGAUGUUGGGUUCCUAGAACUUCAGUGUCGUAGCUAACGCGAUAGCGCACCGCCUGGGAGUACGGCCGCAAGGUUGAAACUCAAAGGA